Phalacrocorax carbo (great cormorant) is the source of this 898-nucleotide non-coding RNA. The record is from RefSeq and is a predicted model, not a curated record. NCBI's taxonomy places the organism in Eukaryota, Metazoa, Chordata, Aves, Suliformes, Phalacrocoracidae.
CCCCGCCCCCUGGCAACGGCCCGGGGGGCGGUGCCGGCUCUCUCCCCGUAGCGACAGGCCCCGCCCCCUGGCAACGGCCCGAGCCUGUGUUUGCUCCGCUCGGGGGGGGGGCUCGGUUUGGGUGUUUUCUCUCCCCCCCCCCUCCCGCGCCGGGAACUCCAGGCGGCUCCCGUACGGCUCCCGGGGCCUUCCCCCCUCGGGGGGCUCGGCCCGCCCCUUUCGCGGGGCGCUGUGGGAAGGGCGGGGGCGGGGCCCGGGGGUCGAAGAGCCCCAGCCGGGGCUCGGGCAGCUCUCGCUGCCCCCGGGCUCCUCUGGCGCCGGGGCUCCCGUGUUCCCUCGGGCGGUCGCAGCUCUGGGGCUGUCUCAGCCCCCCGGGCAGGCGUGCUCUGGCGUUUAGAGAAGCGGAGGCGUUGCCUGAGGUUGUUGGCUCGGCCCCAACAGCGUACAGGCUGCUGAGGUCACCGCCUCCACGCGGGACGCAGGCGGCCCGGAGAGCUUUACCCUGCGCCAUUUCCGUCCCCUCUGGGCAGCAGCGGAUCCGCUGCCGCUUCAGGCGGCCGCUUUCUCGAGGGCGAGGAGCUGGGACGACAACGGGCCGCUGCAGACUCUGGUCAGGGGCAACUUCUGUUCCCGAGGUGGUGCCUACAGUACAGCUAUCUCUUCGAAGGCAGUUUGGUUUAGGUCAGAGAAUGUUUAGCCUGGACUGAAUCAGCCUCUGUUUCUAUUUCUGGAAAUCAUCGGUCCUGUGCAUCAAGCCCGGAAAAAAGGAAAUAUGAACCAAAGGACGUGGGGCCUGCAGGGCUAGGAAAAUAUUUGAGAAGAGGUUCAGUGGGGAAAUGACUGUUUGUCUGUGGGGCGUCCAGGCAAGCAACCCAGCUGCUAGAAAGCGGCGCUGUCC